CACGUAGGUGGUUUCGUGUGUCGAUGGUGAAAUCCUGCAGCUCGACUGCAGAACUGCCGUCGAAACUACGGGGCUAGAGGGCAGGAGGGGAGAGUGGAAUUCCUAGUGUAGCGGUGAAAUGCGUAGAUAUUAGGAGGAACGCCGGUGGCGAAAGCGACUCUCUGGACUGCUUCUGACACUGAGGUGCGAAAGCUAGGGGAGCAAACA
RNAcentral lists this ribosomal RNA (207 nucleotides) under uncultured bacterium. RNAcentral's name for it is "partial 16S ribosomal RNA". It matches the Rfam family "Bacterial small subunit ribosomal RNA", at positions 568 to 774 of the family's 1533-position model. The record is from RNAcentral.